This 2913-nucleotide ribosomal RNA is filed under the name Enterococcus faecalis. Its description in RNAcentral is "23S ribosomal RNA". It matches the Rfam family "Bacterial large subunit ribosomal RNA". Lineage: Bacteria; Bacillati; Bacillota; Bacilli; Lactobacillales; Enterococcaceae. The record is from RNAcentral.
GGUUAAGUGAAUAAGGGCGCACGGUGGAUGCCUUGGCACUAGGAGCCGAUGAAGGACGGGACUAACACCGAUAUGCUUUGGGGAGCUGUAAGUAAGCUAUGAUCCAGAGAUUUCCGAAUGGGGGAACCCAAUAUCUUUUAUAGGAUAUUACUUUUCAGUGAAUACAUAGCUGAUUAGAGGUAGACGCAGAGAACUGAAACAUCUUAGUAUCUGCAGGAAGAGAAAGAAAAUUCGAUUCCCUGAGUAGCGGCGAGCGAAACGGGAAGAGCCCAAACCAACAAGCUUGCUUGUUGGGGUUGUAGGACUCCAAUAUGGUAGUCUGUUAGUAUAGUUGAAGGAUUUGGAAAAUUCCGCUAAAGAGGGUGAAAGCCCCGUAGACGAAAUGCUAACAACACCUAGGAGGAUCCUGAGUACGGCGGAACACGAGAAAUUCCGUCGGAAUCCGCGGGGACCAUCCCGCAAGGCUAAAUACUCCCUAGUGACCGAUAGUGAACCAGUACCGUGAGGGAAAGGUGAAAAGCACCCCGGAAGGGGAGUGAAAUAGAUCCUGAAACCGUGUGCCUACAACAAGUCAAAGCUCGUUAAUGAGUGAUGGCGUGCCUUUUGUAGAAUGAACCGGCGAGUUACGAUUGCAUGCGAGGUUAAGUCGAAGAGACGGAGCCGCAGCGAAAGCGAGUCUGAAUAGGGCGAAUGAGUAUGUAGUCGUAGACCCGAAACCAUGUGAUCUACCCAUGUCCAGGUUGAAGGUGCGGUAAAACGCACUGGAGGACCGAACCCACGUACGUUGAAAAGUGCGGGGAUGAGGUGUGGGUAGCGGAGAAAUUCCAAACGAACUUGGAGAUAGCUGGUUCUCUCCGAAAUAGCUUUAGGGCUAGCCUCGGAAUUGAGAAUGAUGGAGGUAGAGCACUGUUUGGACUAGGGGCCCAUCUCGGGUUACCGAAUUCAGAUAAACUCCGAAUGCCAUUCAUUUAUAUCCGGGAGUCAGACUGCGAGUGAUAAGAUCCGUAGUCGAAAGGGAAACAGCCCAGACCACCAGCUAAGGUCCCAAAAUAUAUGUUAAGUGGAAAAGGAUGUGGGGUUGCACAGACAACUAGGAUGUUGGCUUAGAAGCAGCCACCAUUUAAAGAGUGCGUAAUAGCUCACUAGUCGAGUGACCCUGCGCCGAAAAUGUACCGGGGCUAAACAUAUUACCGAAGCUGUGGACUACACCAUUAGGUGUAGUGGUAGGAGAGCGUUCUAAGGGCGUUGAAGGUCGAUCGUGAGGACGGCUGGAGCGCUUAGAAGUGAGAAUGCCGGUAUGAGUAGCGAAAGACAGGUGAGAAUCCUGUCCACCGUAUGACUAAGGUUUCCUGGGGAAGGCUCGUCCGCCCAGGGUUAGUCGGGACCUAAGCCGAGGCCGAUAGGCGUAGGCGAUGGACAACAGGUUGAUAUUCCUGUACCAGUUGUUUUUGUUUGAGCAAUGGAGGGACGCAGUAGGCUAAGGAAUGCAUGCGAUUGGAAGUGCAUGUCCAAGCAAUGAGUCUUGAGUAGAGUUAAAUGCUUUACUCUCUAAGGACAAGUUGUGACGGGGAGCGAAAUAAUAGUAGCGAAGUUCCUGAUGUCACACUGCCAAGAAAAGCUUCUAGUGAGAAAACAACUGCCCGUACCGUAAACCGACACAGGUAGUCGAGGAGAGUAUCCUAAGGUGAGCGAGCGAACUCUCGUUAAGGAACUCGGCAAAAUGACCCCGUAACUUCGGGAGAAGGGGUGCUGACUUCGGUCAGCCGCAGUGAAUAGGCCCAAGCGACUGUUUAUCAAAAACACAGGUCUCUGCAAAAUCGUAAGAUGAAGUAUAGGGGCUGACGCCUGCCCGGUGCUGGAAGGUUAAGAGGAUGGGUUAGCUUCGGCGAAGCUCAGAAUUGAAGCCCCAGUAAACGGCGGCCGUAACUAUAACGGUCCUAAGGUAGCGAAAUUCCUUGUCGGGUAAGUUCCGACCCGCACGAAAGGCGUAACGAUUUGGGCACUGUCUCAACGAGAGACUCGGUGAAAUUUUAGUACCUGUGAAGAUGCAGGUUACCCGCGACAGGACGGAAAGACCCCAUGGAGCUUUACUGUAGUUUGAUAUUGAGUGUUUGUACCACAUGUACAGGAUAGGUAGGAGCCGAUGAGACCGGAACGCUAGUUUCGGAGGAGGCGCUGGUGGGAUACUACCCUUGUGUUAUGAACCCUCUAACCCGCACCACUAAUCGUGGUGGGAGACAGUGUCAGAUGGGCAGUUUGACUGGGGCGGUCGCCUCCUAAAAGGUAACGGAGGCGCCCAAAGGUUCCCUCAGAAUGGUUGGAAAUCAUUCGAAGAGUGUAAAGGCAGAAGGGAGCUUGACUGCGAGACCUACAAGUCGAGCAGGGACGAAAGUCGGGCUUAGUGAUCCGGUGGUUCCGCAUGGAAGGGCCAUCGCUCAACGGAUAAAAGCUACCCUGGGGAUAACAGGCUUAUCUCCCCCAAGAGUCCACAUCGACGGGGAGGUUUGGCACCUCGAUGUCGGCUCGUCGCAUCCUGGGGCUGUAGUCGGUCCCAAGGGUUGGGCUGUUCGCCCAUUAAAGCGGCACGCGAGCUGGGUUCAGAACGUCGUGAGACAGUUCGGUCCCUAUCCGUCGCGGGCGUUGGAAAUUUGAGAGGAGCUGUCCUUAGUACGAGAGGACCGGGAUGGACUUACCGCUGGUGUACCAGUUGUUCUGCCAAGGGCAUUGCUGGGUAGCUAUGUAGGGAAGGGAUAAACGCUGAAAGCAUCUAAGUGUGAAGCCCACCUCAAGAUGAGAUUUCCCAUUUCUUUAAGAAAGUAAGACCCCUGAGAGAUGAUCAGGUAGAUAGGUUGGAAGUGGAAGGCUAGUGAUAGUUGGAGCGGACCAAUACUAAUCGGUCGAGGACUUAACCAA